CACGUAGGAGCCAAGCGUUAUCCGAAUUCACUGGGCGUAAAGCGCGUGUAGGCGGCUUAUUAAGUUGGAUGUGAAAGCUCCCGGCUCAACUGGGAGAGGACGUUCAAGACUGGUAGGCUAGAGGGCGACAGAGGGAGGUGGAAUUCCCGGUGUAGUGGUGAAAUGCGUAGAUAUCGGGAGGAACACCAGUGGCGAAGGCGGCCUCCUGGGUCGCACCUGACGCUCAGACGCGAAAGCUAGGGGAGCGAACGGG
This 253-nucleotide ribosomal RNA is filed under the name uncultured bacterium. RNAcentral describes it as "partial 16S ribosomal RNA". It matches the Rfam family "Bacterial small subunit ribosomal RNA", at positions 524 to 776 of the family's 1533-position model. The record is from RNAcentral.